CGGCCCCCCCGGCCACCAGCAGCCCCCCCACCCCGCCGUGACACGGCCCCGGGAGACCCUGCGGUAAAUAAGACAUUGUUACGAGCGCUGGGAGACCCUAUGAUAACAAAGCACCUGGAGCUGCUUCAGGAGACCCUACAAUAAAUAAGACGGUGAUGGGAGACCCUACAAUAACAAACCACCUGGAGUUGCUCCAGGAGACCCUACGGUAAAUAAACACCUGGAGCUGCUCCGGGAGUCCCUACGGUAAAUAAGAAAAUGAUGGGAGACCCUACAAUAACAAGCCACCUGGAGCUGCUUCAGGAGACCCUACAGUAAAUAAACACCUGGAGCUGCUCCGGGAGACCCUACGGUAAAUAAGGCAUUAUUGCGAGUUCUGGGAGACCCUACAAUAACAAGCCACCUGGAGCUGCUCUGGGAGACCCUACAGUAAAUAAGACAGUGCUGUGAGUGCUGAGAAAACCUACAAUAACAAACAACCUGGAGUUGCUUUGGAGACCCUACAGUAAAUAAAUACCUCGAGCUACUCUGGGAGACCCUACAGUAAAUAAGACAUCACUGCAAGUGAUGGGAGACCGUACAAUAACAAACCACUCAGAUCUGCUCCAGGAGACCCUACAAUAAAUAAGCCAGCACUGCAAGUUCUGGGAGACCCUACAACAACAAACCAACAAGAGCUGCUUGGGGAGACCCUACAAAAAUAAGCUACCACAACAAGCACUGGGAGACACUACAGUAACAAGCCACCAGGAGCUGCUUGGGAAGACCCUACAAUAACAAGCCAAUAAGAACCCCCUCUGUGAGACCCUACAAUAACAAACCACCAGGAGCUGCUCCAGGGACACUCUACAAUAACAAACCAGCAGGACCCUCUCUGGGAGACCCUACAAUAAAUAAGGCUGCAGG
This 906-nucleotide long non-coding RNA is filed under the name Anser cygnoides (Swan goose). Its description in RNAcentral is "lncRNA (ENSACDG00005014368.1)". The record is from RNAcentral. Lineage: Eukaryota; Metazoa; Chordata; Aves; Anseriformes; Anatidae.